GAAAUAAACUGAUGUCUUUGAUUUUACAGGAUCAUAGUUGGAAGGAACUUGCCUUGUGUCAGAUGAGACUUUGGACUUUGAACUGCUGAGUUAAUGCUGAAUGAGUUAAGACUUUAAGGGACUAUUGGGAAGACAUUACUGCAUUUUGCAAUGUGAGAAGGACACGAGAUUUGAGGGUUUGGAGCAAAAUGAAGUCCCACCAAAAUCUCAUGUUGAAAUGUAAUCCCCAAUGUUGGAGAUGUUCCAGGCUUCCUGCCUUCCCCACCAGCAGAGAUUAGAUGUCUCUGAAAAGAAGCCCAAUCAAACCAACUUCCUUCAGAUGAUGGGCCAGGGGCACCGGCCUGGAUGCUGGCAAGGAAGUUGAAGGAGGAUUGGGUGCGGAUUAAGAGUAUACUAUGCAGAGCCAGACUGGGUUCAAAACCAGGAUUCAAAUCCCUGCUCUGAAACUUGGGUCUCAUUAGCUAACUCUCUCAUCAUUAAAAUGAAGAUAAUAACAAUAA
Long non-coding RNA from Sapajus apella (tufted capuchin), 500 nucleotides. RefSeq lists it as uncharacterized. Lineage: Eukaryota; Metazoa; Chordata; Mammalia; Primates; Cebidae. The transcript is spliced from 3 exons. The record is from RefSeq and is a predicted model, not a curated record.